ACGGGGCCCGCACAAGCGGUGGAGCAUGUGGUUUAAUUCGACGCACGCGAAGAACCUUACCAGGGCUUGACAUCCCGGGAACCCUUUGGAACAGAGGGGUGCCCGCAAGGGAGCCCGGAGACAGGUGGUGCAUGGUUGUCGUCAGCUCGUGUCGUGAGAUGUUGGGUUAAGUCCCGCAACGAGCGCAACCCCUACGUUUAGUUGCUAACGCGUGAAGGCGAGCACUCUAGACGAACUGCCGUUGACAAAACGGAGGAAGGUGGGGAUGACGUCAAAUCAUCAUGCCCCUUAUGUUCUGGGCUACACACGUGCUACAAUGGCCGGUACAGACGGAGGCGAAGCCGCGAGGCGGAGCAAAUCCGAAAAAGCCGGUCUCAGUUCGGAUUGCAGGCUGCAAUUCGCCUGCAUGAAGUCGGAAUCGCUAGUAAUCGCAGGUCAGCAUACUGCGGUGAAUACGUUCCCGGGCCUU
RNAcentral lists this ribosomal RNA (469 nucleotides) under uncultured Pelotomaculum sp. RNAcentral's name for it is "bacterial SSU rRNA". It matches the Rfam family "Bacterial small subunit ribosomal RNA", at positions 916 to 1381 of the family's 1533-position model. Lineage: Bacteria; Bacillati; Bacillota; Clostridia; Eubacteriales; Desulfotomaculaceae. The record is from RNAcentral.